This 468-nucleotide ribosomal RNA is filed under the name uncultured bacterium. RNAcentral describes it as "partial 16S ribosomal RNA". It matches the Rfam family "Bacterial small subunit ribosomal RNA", at positions 28 to 507 of the family's 1533-position model. The record is from RNAcentral.
GACGAACGCUGGCGGCGUGCUUAACACAUGCAAGUCGAACGGAAAGGCCCUGCUUUUGUGGGGUGCUCGAGUGGCGAACGGGUGAGUAACACGUGAGUAACCUGCCCUUGACUUUGGGAUAACUUCAGGAAACUGGGGCUAAUACCGGAUAGGAGCUCCUGCUGCAUGGUGGGGGUUGGAAAGUUUCGGCGGUUGGGGAUGGACUCGCGGCUUAUCAGCUUGUUGGUGGGGUAGUGGCUUACCAAGGCUUUGACGGGUAGCCGGCCUGAGAGGGUGACCGGCCACAUUGGGACUGAGAUACGGCCCAGACUCCUACGGGAGGGAGCAGUGGGGAAUAUUGCACAAUGGGCGGAAGCCUGAUGCAGCAACGCCGCGUGCGGGAUGACGGCCUUCGGGUUGUAAACCGCUUUCGCCUGUGACGAAGCGUGAGUGACGGUAAUGCGUAAAGAAGCACCGGCUAACUACGUG